This is a long non-coding RNA of Sorghum bicolor (sorghum), 1323 nucleotides long. RefSeq lists it as uncharacterized. The record is from RefSeq and is a predicted model, not a curated record. The transcript is spliced from 4 exons. NCBI's taxonomy places the organism in Eukaryota, Viridiplantae, Streptophyta, Magnoliopsida, Poales, Poaceae.
AUCAUGUGCCUUUCUGGAGGGAAUGUCUGCCUAGAAGACAGGAAAUGGCUGUGGCUCUGAAGCUGUUGUUGAUGAUGAUACAUCUGGCAUGAAGACAUUGCAGGCUUAAAGUUUAUCAGCCCUUUGUUUUGGUGAACUAAGGGUUGUUCGUCACACAAUGGCGUUAUAUUCCUUGGGGGAAUGCUCUGACAAACUAUGACUACUCAUGCCAAGAUGUUAUGCAGAGUCUGGUUUUAUAAGGAAGGCAAGUGAGGAGAGAAUUUCGAAUCGUUAGAACAAACACUCAAGCCUGGCCCAAUCUUGGUGGCAACUGAAAAGAGGGCAACGGAAAGUGGAUAGACGAAUCUGAUGGGCUGUGCAUCUAUAUGGAGUCCUCUGAGUUUGGCUACUAUCUGUUCUACAUAAGGCGCAGAAAGUCCGGGCUUAAAAAUGAUGGCAGGCAGGCCGGCCGGCGAGCACGCGAUCCCGCGGGAAGGGAAUAAGGAAAAGCGAUGUUGACAAAGCUGCUGAAUGGGGGAAUCCUGCGCUUUUUUGGAGGCAAAGAUGAGAAGGAAUAUAUCGCCUGUGUCGACCUCGCCUGCUUGGUUCUUCCGUUCCGUGACUUGGUUGUGCUCCGCUGGAUCGUGCCAGCCGCCAACGGGAUGAGCAUUGAGCACGUGUGAACCGUGGCGUAGGUAUGUCAUUGUUUGCUCUAAGAGUGUUUUGCUCAGCGGUCGUUCUUUGUUUACUGUAUGAAGUAUGAACUCAUCCAUUCAUCUGGGUUACAGAAUUUGGGAACACUUCAAAUGAUGCGAAUUGGAAUUUGGAAAGUAUAUAGAGUAUAGACCGCUGGACAAGCUGUUUCUAUAGUUUGGUGUUGGUGUAUAAUGAACUAAUGAUCCAUAUUGUUUGGAAGAACCAACUAAUGAUCCAUAUGCUCGCCUAAAAGGCAAAUGGUUCAUGUAUAUGUUUUUUUUUUAGCAACAAAUAUGUUUGCUUCUGUUCGUGUAGAGUUGGCAAAGCAAAUAUACGGGUGUUCCACAGAUUAGCAGCUUUGAUGAAAAUUGGCGAAAUGAACGUGUCGGAUCGAUCACUCACUGGGGCCUGUACUAGCAAAGCCGGAGCCUAGCCCAGCAGCAUGGCAGCUCUCUGUGGCCCAGCUGUUGAAGCUGCCGAUGUGCUGAACUAUUGGAAACAGGUUGUCAUCGGUCCCUGCAAGUUGCACCCCGACCCGCGUUUUUUGGCCGGGCUUCACAUGCGGCUCCGGCCCGCGAUCGACAUCGUUGCACGGAGGCAGCAUCGCCAGGUGAAACCGUGCAACUGUUCUCUUCAAAAAAAAAAAAA